This 465-nucleotide ribosomal RNA is filed under the name uncultured bacterium. Its description in RNAcentral is "partial 16S ribosomal RNA". It matches the Rfam family "Bacterial small subunit ribosomal RNA", at positions 28 to 507 of the family's 1533-position model. The record is from RNAcentral.
GAUGAACGCUGGCGGCGUGCUUAACACAUGCAAGUCGAACGGAAAGGCUCCUGCUUGCAGGGGUACUCGAGUGGCGAACGGGUGAGUAACACGUGGGUGAUCUGCCCUGCACUUCGGGAUAAGCCUGGGAAACUGGGUCUAAUACCGGAUAGGACGAUGGUUUGGAUGCCAUUGUGGAAAGUUUUUCGGUGUGGGAUGAGCUCGCGGCCUAUCAGCUUGUUGGUGGGGUAAUGGCCUACCAAGGCGUCGACGGAUAGCCGGCCUGAGAGGGUGUACGGCCACAUUGGGACUGAGAUACGGCCCAGACUCCUACGGGAGGCAGCAGUGGGGAAUAUUGCAGAAUGGGCGCAAGCCUGAUGCAGCGACGCCGCGUGGGGGAUGACGGCCUUCGGGUUGUAAACUCCUUUCGCUAGGGACGAAGCGCAAGUGACGGUACCUGGAGAAGAAGCACCGGCUAACUACGUG